GCACCUCUCACACCUCCAACUUGUCAUAGUAAUAAUAAGCUGAUAAUAAACAGCAGCACAGAAGCCUUCAGUCUAAUGGACGUCGUCUCCUCACUGACUCGGACAAACGUCUCCUGUUUCUGAGCCAAAGACUGCAAAGUGCAUCUCGUCAAGCUGUAUUUUGACAACGGGCGGCCAAUCAAGUUGAUGGCACGGAGCCUUUCUAACCUGGAAGCCAAGCUGGGAAUACAUCUUGCUAAUUGGCCAAUGUGACAGCUCAGCGGGGAGCAGAAAAUGACAGUUUGAAGCAGCAGAUCUGGGGACAGUGAUUUAGUCAAGGAGACAGGGCAGAGUGAUUUAUGCAUUGAGUCUGGAGAAGAAAACAAACAUUUCAUCUCAGCAACAAUGGAUUAAAAACAUUCUCUGAGCAUCCGACAUUGAUUCAAGCCUUCUGGACUAUGACGGCCCAGUAACCCAGGGACAUGGUCACUAGUGAAUGAGGAGCUCGGCAAUUGUCCUUCUCCGCACAGACACUACCGCACAGACUGUACAGCGAAUUCUGCAGGAAACCAGCAGCCAGUUAAAGAAAUUGAUGUGCCAAAAGUAGAAAAAAAGAAGGUGAGAGAUAAGGGCAUAGUUGUAUUUUUAAUGAUAAAAUUAACAUUUCCUGUAAAACCUGUUGGCAAGUGCCAGUUAUACAUUAUGUAAGUCACACAGACCUUUGCCAAAUCUCUGUCCUGUUGCAUUACAGUCACAUUGGGCUGGUGCCAAUCAGUAAACUAGAACAGAUACAUCAAGUUAUUAUUAACCUCGCUCUCUCCUAAUAACUUGUCUCCAACAAACUACUGGCACCCAGUGUCACCCCAUCACAUGGGCAGCGGAUAUUCCCCCAGCUGUUCCCUUACAGACACACACCGUGGCUUUUUAAUCUGAGAAAUGGGGCAACCACAGGCAUUCUACAUACAACUACCCCUCCCAGCAUUCUAAAGGGGUUCUGGGAGUUGUAAGUAAACAACAACAUUUCCCCAGAGAUCUAUAUCCUGCAUAAAUAAGACCUGCAGCCUUGUGCCUUUAUAUAGCCAGGGAACCUCAGUGACCUCUAAUAUCCUUAUAUAUUACAGCAGGGGGUGGAGUAUACCCAAUAUAAACACAGAGAUAUAUCAUCACUCUGUAACCAGCAUCAGUCGUUUAUUAGGAGAUGAUCAAUAACGAGACACAGCUCUUCCCUGGAAGCAGUUAAACACACAAAUAAGCUACACUAUAUGAUCCUUCACUAUAUUUUCCAUUCAAAUAUAAAAAGUGAUAUUUUCCUAAAUUCCCUAGAGAAUUAAAGAAACCAUUAUUUGAUUCUGAAGGAGAGCAAGCCCUAAUUACAACACACCUUGUUUCUGGCUAACACAAUACAAUUAGUAACCAAAACAACAGGAAGGUGCUGUACGUGCCUCUCAUGCUCUUGCUGAACUACAUGUUUUAGCAUCCCGAUGGCUACAGACGGGAACUGUAAUUCAUCAGCUCAGUCCCACCCUGUGUCUCAUACCCCCCGUCUCCGUGUAUUGAUCAUGCACCCACCAUUCUCUUGUACAGCACUGUGGAAUAUGUUGGUGAUUCAGCAACAUGUAAUAAUAUCAAGAACUAAAUUAGUGAACAGGGGAAUUUCUGUGCAGUGGAACACACACAACUGCACACAGACACACCCCGAGUGAGUUUUAAUGUCACAUUUUGAUCAAUAUGCCCCUUAGUCUUAUGGAAAGUGUUAGGCAACAAUCACUGACGGCUAUGGGUAUGGCUAUGGGUUAGUGAGUAAAUGAAUGAUGUAGGGGCAGACAAUGUUAAGGACGAAUAUCAUUAUAACAUGAAGCCAUUGGCAAAUGAAACAAUUCUCAAGCUGUGCCAAAAUCAGGCAGAUGCAAGUGUUGGACCCGGGGCUAAUGGUGGCCAUAGAUGUAACAAUUACGAUCGUUCUUGGAAAAGAUGUUUCCAAGACAGAUCGUUCAUUUCAAUACACACGUGUAGAGCUGAAUGGUCAGAUAUAGAAA
Xenopus laevis (African clawed frog) is the source of this 2015-nucleotide long non-coding RNA. RefSeq lists it as uncharacterized. The transcript has 3 exons. The record is from RefSeq and is a predicted model, not a curated record. Lineage: Eukaryota; Metazoa; Chordata; Amphibia; Anura; Pipidae.